GAGGAAGGCGAGCUGCUGGCGGUGAGCGGCGUCUACGAGACGCCGCCGUGGGGCGACACGGAGCAGCCGGCGUACUACAACGCCGCCCUGCUCG
This 94-nucleotide transfer RNA is filed under the name Catellatospora citrea. RNAcentral's name for it is "tRNA-Arg". RNAcentral also lists the same sequence under 2 other names. Lineage: Bacteria; Bacillati; Actinomycetota; Actinomycetes; Micromonosporales; Micromonosporaceae. The record is from RNAcentral.